This is a long non-coding RNA of Tigriopus californicus, 892 nucleotides long. RefSeq lists it as uncharacterized. The transcript has 2 exons. The record is from RefSeq and is a predicted model, not a curated record. Lineage: Eukaryota; Metazoa; Arthropoda; Copepoda; Harpacticoida; Harpacticidae.
UGGAUUGUUGGAAGCCAAAAGAUAAACCGUCUUUUUUAGAGACGUAAGGUCUUGAUGGGGCGAAAACCAUAAAAUGUCGGUCAGCUAAAUUGUAGGAAAAGUAACAAGUCAUGUCAUUGCAUUUUUUGAGGAGCAAUGGUUGUGUCACGAAUUGCUACUUUUGGCCAAAGCAAUUGUAACUCUGAUUCGCUUCUUUCAUUGAGGAACGACUAAUGCCCCUGGUUACAACUAAAUUUACACAGCAAAUCAAAUUUGGAGGUUGGAAAAGUUUAUUUCUCCUUUUCCAACAAAAAUAUUAAGCCACCGUCUUGAACUUUUCAAACGCUAACAAGCACAACAGAAUUCGCCAAAAAGUGCUGAAAAGAGAGAAGGAAUGUGCUCUUUUUCAUUAUUUUUACCAUAACCAUUUGAAUUUGAAGUGCAUUUGUCCAAUGUUACUAUAAACUGUGACUCAACCCCAACUUUCUUGCUCAAGUGGACUUCGAUCUCAGUGGGCUUCACCGAUUUAGAGUGAAGGCGAGACAGCAAUCUUCCCAUUCACCAAGACCCCGGCAUCCGUCGCAACAUCCUCCCCCUCUUUCUCGUCUUCCACAGGACUCUUCUGGUCGAGUUUUCAAACCCUCUGGGAGUUGCACCAUGGCCGAUCGAACAAGAUCGUCAUCUCGACCAUGUACCUCUACCAUUGUGGCAAGGUUCCAUUUUCCCCGUGGUGCCAACGGAUCUACGACAAGCACCACAUUCCCUUCCUUAAGUUUUCGUUCUCAGAUGUCCACUUGCAUGUAGCCAAUGGGGUAGCCAGGUGCUCGGCGUUUCACCGUUUCCAAAUGUCAUCCACUAAAUUUUCCACAUAAUGGAAAUGCUUCCUUUCGAAUUCAAGACUGUUCACAUUAGA